GACGAACGCUGGCGGCGUGCUUAACACAUGCAAGUCGAACGGCAAGGCCCUGCUUUUGUGGGGUUCCCGAGUGGCGAACGGGGGAGUAACACGUGAGUAACCUGCCCUUGUUUUUGGGAUAACUUCAGGAAAGUGGGGUUAAUACCGUACAGGAGCCGCCGCUGCGUUGAGGGGGUUGGAAAGUUUCGGCGGGCGGGGCUGGACUCGCGGCUUAAGAGUUUGUUGGUUGGGUAGUGGCUUACCAAGGCUUUGGCGGGUAGCCGGCCUGGGAGGGUGACCGGGCACAUGGCGCCUGCGAGACGGAGCAGACGGCUACAGGAGGCAGCAGUCGCGAGUAUUGCACAGCGGGAGGACGCCUGAUGCAGAAGCGCUGCGUGCGGAAUGACGGCCUUUGGGUAAAGAACAGCUUCAGGCUAAGACGAAGCGUGAGUGACGGUAAUCGAUAAAGAAGCACCGGCUAACUACGUG
This 468-nucleotide ribosomal RNA is filed under the name uncultured bacterium. RNAcentral describes it as "partial 16S ribosomal RNA". It matches the Rfam family "Bacterial small subunit ribosomal RNA", at positions 28 to 507 of the family's 1533-position model. The record is from RNAcentral.